AGAACGCUGGCGGCAUGCCUAACACAUGCAAGUCGAACGAGGGUUUUCGCCUUAGUGGCCACGGUGAGUAACGCGUGGGAACUGCCUUUUGGUACGGAGUAACUCCGGGAAAUGGAGCUAUACCGUAUGUGUCUUGAGGGACAAAGAUUUAUCGCCAUGGGAUGGGCCCGCGUAGGAUUAGCUUGUUUGGGUAACGGCAUACCAAGGCAACGAUCCUUAGCUGGUCUGAGAGGAUGAUCAGCCCACACUGGGAUGAGACACGGCCCAGACUCCUACGGGAGGCAGCAGUGGGGAAUAUUGGACAAUGGGCGCAAGCCUGAUCCCAGCAAUGCCGCGUGAGUG
Molecule: ribosomal RNA, 342 nt
Filed under: alpha proteobacterium oral taxon A53
Lineage: Bacteria; Pseudomonadati; Pseudomonadota; Alphaproteobacteria
Description: bacterial SSU rRNA
Rfam family: Bacterial small subunit ribosomal RNA
Source: RNAcentral